UAUGUCUGAACCCUGAAGCCGCUUGUAGUUCUAUUUAAAUUCAAGAUCAAGCCCAACGGCCCUUGAAGAAAUCACAAGUCCAAUUCAAAAUCAAGUGUCCACCACCCUUGAAUCAUAAUCAACUCCAGAUAAAAGGCGUAAGUUCGAACCUCUGGAGGAAGCCAGAACACCCUCCAUCCCAGUUCAAGAUUAAGCUUAUGGAAAAUCAACAAUUGGAGGAAACCAAAAAACACUCCAACCUAGUUCAAUAUCAA
Molecule: long non-coding RNA, 254 nt
Filed under: Malus domestica (apple)
Lineage: Eukaryota; Viridiplantae; Streptophyta; Magnoliopsida; Rosales; Rosaceae
Description: long non-coding RNA (MDOM_LNC013434)
Source: RNAcentral